RNAcentral lists this ribosomal RNA (253 nucleotides) under uncultured bacterium. RNAcentral's name for it is "partial 16S ribosomal RNA". It matches the Rfam family "Bacterial small subunit ribosomal RNA", at positions 524 to 776 of the family's 1533-position model. The record is from RNAcentral.
UACGUAGGGUGCAAGCGUUAAUCGGAAUUACUGGGCGUAAAGCGUGCGCAGGCGGUUUUGUAAGUCAGAUGUGAAAUCCCCGGGCUUAACCUGGGAACUGCGUUUGAAACUACAAGGCUAGAGUGUGGCAGAGGGGGGUGGAAUUCCACGUGUAGCAGUGAAAUGCGUAGAGAUGUGGAGGAAUACCGAUGGCGAAGGCAGCCUCCUGGGCCAACACUGACGCUCAUGCACGAAAGCGUGGGGAGCAAACAGG